CAAAUUAGAGCUUGGGUAGAAAAAGUAUCUUAUUUACAUUAAGAGGAAAAUUGUGAAAGUCAAUUUAAUUUGA
Molecule: transfer RNA, 73 nt
Filed under: Scarabaeidae sp. BMNH 1274753
Lineage: Eukaryota; Metazoa; Arthropoda; Insecta; Coleoptera; Scarabaeidae
Description: tRNA-Val
Source: RNAcentral